This 31-nucleotide non-coding RNA is filed under the name Mus musculus (house mouse). Lineage: Eukaryota; Metazoa; Chordata; Mammalia; Rodentia; Muridae. The record is from RNAcentral.
UGUCCUAAGAACAAAAGCAAAACUCAAGGAA